AACAAUUAAAAACAAACUCUCUUUUCCAUUUCCAAUUUUAAAUUACUUAUUUUCUGGACUUCCUCAUACCUCCCUCUUUUGUAUUCCAAUCCACAUUAUUUGUCCAGCAGUUUCUUUUCCACUUUUUUAAUCCCAAUCUUUAAUUUAAUAAAAUGUUAAAAUAUAUAACUUCAACUUUUUUAAACCUAAUCCUUGAUCUUAAUAUCAUAUAACGUUAAAAUUUUCCCUUUUAAUAUCAAAUUUCCAUUUCUUUAAACAUCUUUAAUCUUGAUCUUUAAUCUUAAUCUAUCAUUAACUUUAACCUGUGCAGCUGGAAACCACUUACUUUCAGUCCAACAUCCCUUUAACAUUCCUUAAUUUUGCAAUGUUUCUGAAGAUAGUCUUUGAAUUUCUUCCAGUCUUCCUCCAUCGACUCUUCUCCCUGGUCACGGAUUCUACCAGUCAUUUCCGCCAAUUCCAUAUAGUCCAUAAGUUUCAUCUGCCAUUCCUCCAGUGUGGGAAGUUCUUGUGUCUUCCAAUACUUUGCGAUGAGUAUUCUUGCUGCUGUUGUUGCAUACAUAAAGAAAGUUCUAUCCUUUUUUAACACCAUUUGGCCGGCUACGCCCAGGAGAAAGGCCUCUGGUUUCUUAGGGAAGGUAUACUUAAAUACCUUCUUUAAUUCAUUAUAUAUCAUUUCCCAGAAAGCCUUAAUCUUUGGGCACGUCCACCAAAGGUGAAAAAAUGUACCUUCAGUUUCUUUACAUUUCCAACAUUUGUUAUCGGGCAAGUGAUAGAUUUUUGCAAGCUUGACUGGGGUUAUGUACCACCUGUAUAUCAUUUUCAUAAUAUUCUCUCUUAAGGCAUUACAUGCCGUAAAUUUCAUACCUGUGGUCCAUAACUGUUCCCAGUCAGCAAACAUAAUGUUAUGUCCAACGUCCUGUGCCCAUUUAAUCAUAGCCGAUUUUACCGUUUCAUCUUGAGUAUUCCAUUUCAGCAGCAAGUUAUACAUUCUUGACAAAUUCUUAGUCUUGGGUUCUAACAAUUCUGUUUCUAAUUUGGAUCUUUCCACCUGGAAGCCAAUUUUCCUGUCCAAUUUAAAUACCUCCAUUAUCUGAUAAUAAUGAAGCC
RNAcentral lists this long non-coding RNA (1107 nucleotides) under Podarcis lilfordi (Lilford's wall lizard). The record is from RNAcentral. Lineage: Eukaryota; Metazoa; Chordata; Lepidosauria; Squamata; Lacertidae.